RNAcentral lists this transfer RNA (75 nucleotides) under Pseudobythopirellula maris. RNAcentral describes it as "Planctomycetes bacterium Mal64 tRNA-Arg". It matches the Rfam family "tRNA". Rfam says of the family: Transfer RNA (tRNA) molecules are approximately 80 nucleotides in length. Their secondary structure includes four short double-helical elements and three loops (D, anti-codon, and T loops). Lineage: Bacteria; Pseudomonadati; Planctomycetota; Planctomycetia; Pirellulales; Lacipirellulaceae. The record is from RNAcentral.
GCGCCCGUAGCUCAACUGGAUAGAGCACCGGUCUUCGGAACCGGGGGUUGGGGGUUCGAAUCCCUCCGGGCGUAC